RNAcentral lists this transfer RNA (69 nucleotides) under Bos taurus (domestic cattle). It matches the Rfam family "tRNA". Rfam says of the family: Transfer RNA (tRNA) molecules are approximately 80 nucleotides in length. Their secondary structure includes four short double-helical elements and three loops (D, anti-codon, and T loops). The record is from Rfam by way of RNAcentral. Lineage: Eukaryota; Metazoa; Chordata; Mammalia; Artiodactyla; Bovidae. RNAcentral also lists the same sequence under 2 other names.
CCUGGUAUCUCAGAUAAUAAAGAGUCUGCCUGCAAUGCAGGAGACCUGGGUUCAAUCCCUGGAUCAGGA